RNAcentral lists this long non-coding RNA (1390 nucleotides) under Equus asinus (donkey). RNAcentral's name for it is "lncRNA (ENSEASG00005032632.1)". The record is from RNAcentral. Lineage: Eukaryota; Metazoa; Chordata; Mammalia; Perissodactyla; Equidae.
GUCUCACCCAGCCCACUCCGGCACGUUUUGGGGAUGCUGUGAAACUCGACCGAGCUGCCUGUUAUCAUAAGAGAACCAAGCGAGUGGGGCUCUGAGCUGUUCCUGCUGUGUGCCUGCUCCCGGGCCACCUGCUAGCCCCAGGGUCAUCACCUCUGGACUCCAAGGGACCCCAGGAGCGUCGGGAUUCGGAGAAGCGAGCUCUACCUGGACACACAUCCACCCCAGUCCUGCCCAUAAGUGUCUCUGCCCAGCUCGUGAGCUUCCUGAGGGCGGAGACCUCGUCCUCUCUGGGUGCCAGGGCUCCAUAACGUGCCUGGCCCCAGGGUGCCCGUUAAACUGACAUGAAAUGAAUGUCCCUGAGCUCGUACCCAUAGGACAGGACUCUAAAUAUCAUCGGAUCACAUCAUGAGAAAGCGAUGGCCUUUUCUACUCCGUGCCAGUCUUUCUCAUGACAUCAAGGAGAACAUCUUGGGCUGGCGCCAGGACGUCUUGACGCCUCCCCGCCCUCGCCCAUCCGCACCCAGAGCCAAGAACAGGCGGUCUAGGGCCCAGACCUAGCAGACCAGUGUACCAGCAAGAGUAAGAGCAUUGCUUCAUUUUAGAAUCACCUUCAAUUCUGAGCAAGCGGUGCUGGUUUCCCGCUUAUAACAGCAACGUAAAGUUUCUUUUAAAUGUGUUUUAAAUUUUAAAACAAUUUCAGACUUAGAGAAAAGUUGCAAAAGUCAUACAAAGAAUUCCUGGAUAUCCUUUAUCCAGAUUCCCUAGUAUUAACAUUUUUCUACUUUCUCUCUCUCUCUCUUUUUCUCCCCACUACCUACCCACACGCACACAUGCACAGAGAUUAUUUUUUUCUGAACCAUCUAAAAACAGGUUUUCUUGGGGCCAGCCCGGUGAUGGAGUGGUCAGGUUGCCCACUCUACUUUGGUGGCCUGGGGUUUGCAGGUUCGGCUCCCUCGUGUGGACCUGCGCACAGCUCAUCAAGCCACGCCGUGGUGGCCUCUCACAUACAAAAUAAAGGAAGAUGGGCACGGAUGUUAGCUCAGGGCCAAUCUUCCUCACCCAAAAAAAAAAAAAUCAAUACUUUAGUGUAUAUUUCCUAAAAGCAGGAACAUUUUCUUACAUAACUACAGUACGCUUGUCAAAAUCAGGGAGUUGACACAGACACAGUACUGUUACCUAAUCUGGAGACCUCAUCCUGAUUUCACCCUCCGUCCCAGUAAAACCCCAGCUCACACUUUGCAUUCGGUUGCCGCGUCUCUUUAGCUCCUUUAACUGGCAACAGUUCUCGAGUCUUGGUAUUUUGCCAUCUUAGCAUUUUUGAAAAGUACGUGCCAGAUAUUUUGUAAAAUGGCUGAAGAGUCCUUUAAAAAUAAAGUUUUGAAAAAACGUG